RNAcentral lists this ribosomal RNA (460 nucleotides) under Acinetobacter schindleri. Its description in RNAcentral is "bacterial SSU rRNA". It matches the Rfam family "Bacterial small subunit ribosomal RNA", at positions 993 to 1452 of the family's 1533-position model. The record is from RNAcentral. Lineage: Bacteria; Pseudomonadati; Pseudomonadota; Gammaproteobacteria; Moraxellales; Moraxellaceae.
GAACUUUCCAGAGAUGGAUUGGUGCCUUCGGGAAGUUAGAUACAGGUGCUGCAUGGCUGUCGUCAGCUGGUGUCUUGAGAUGUUGGGUUAAGUCCCGCAACGAGCGCAACCCUUUUCCUUAUUUGCCAGCGGGUAAUCCCGGGAACUUUAAGGAUACUGCCAGUGACAAACUGGAGGAAGGCGGGGAUGACGUCAAGUCAUCAUGGCCCUUACGGCCAGGGCUACACACGUGCUACAAUGGUCGGUACAAAGGGUUGCUACCUCGCGAGAGGAUGCUAAUCUCAAAAAGCCGAUUGUAGUCCGGAUCGCAGUCUGCAACUCGACUGCGUGAAGUCGGAAUCGCUAGUAAUCGCGGAUCAGAAUGCCGCGGUGAAUACGUUCCCGGGCCUUGUACACACCGCCCGUCACACCAUGGGAGUUUGUUGCACCAGAAGUAGGUAGUCUAACCGCAAGGAGGACG